Molecule: long non-coding RNA, 5704 nt
Filed under: Podarcis lilfordi (Lilford's wall lizard)
Lineage: Eukaryota; Metazoa; Chordata; Lepidosauria; Squamata; Lacertidae
Source: RNAcentral
UAGGUGUCCUUGGCCUGGCGUAUUUGCUCCAUCAGAAGUUGCUGUUGGGAUUGGAGCUCCAGCAGCCAGCCCGUCACUGCGGGAACUGCAGACACCGGCAGCAUGCUUGGGAACAAACGUGGGUGGUACCCACAGUUGGCCUGGAACAGUGUCUGUUGGGUGGAAGCGUUCACUUGCAUUGUUGUAGGCAAACUCGGCCAAUGCCAGAUAGUCGACCCAAUCGUCCUGGUGAAAACUGCAGUUGCACCAGAGGUACUGCUCCAACACCACAUUCGCCCAUUCGGUCUGUUCGUCGGUCUGUGGAUGGUAGGCCAUUGAUAGACAGACCUCUGUCCCAAGAGCCUGGUGUAGGCCACGCCAGAAGCGGGAGGUGAACUGAGCGCCAUGAACAGAAAUCGUUCUGAAUGCUACCAGCAUUCUGGUAGGCCAUGCAGGCAAAAAGUGUCAGUGGGUUACUAGACCCAGGGGCCGCCUCAGCCUCCCCUGACCAAACUGGUAGUGGAGCAGCUGUAAGUGAUUGCCCAGCUUAAGGCAAUGAGGUAAUCCCUGCAUCUGGAGCCAGGGCAGGCUCAGGCCCCUGACUCGGCCUAGCUGGUGUUUGUUGCAGGGGAACCUGUGCAGACUGGGACUCUUCAGGAUCAGGUCCCAGACUUGGUUCAGAGGCAAAGGAUCCGGUGCAGACUGAGACUCCUCUGGUUCCAAUAUCUACGAAUUUCAAUAAAGUAUAUAUAUUAAAAAGGACAUGCCUAGUAACCAAUGAGCCGGCAGAGGGAGGUGUCACAAUGAAAGGCAUGUCACAAUGACCUCCGCAACCUAGCAGCUCCUCUGACUCUAGUAAGUUUGCUUAUAUGGCUUUUAAUGCAUGUUCAGCUUUUUAAAAAGAUGUAAAACAUGCCUAUUCCUUUAUAUUCAAGCUGCAGUUAUCCCUGCACCUACUGAGCAUUAAUGUCAUUCUAUAUUGCUGUAUGUGUCAUUGGAAACAAAGAAAUCGCCCCUUGCAUAUUAUUCAUUUUAUUACCAUCCUUCACUAGCGGGUCCCAGGGCAGGUUACAACCAUCUAAAUAUAAGCAUUGAAACAGUUAAGACCAAUUACAGUCACCAGAACAGUUUGAAUUCUGAAAACACAUAUCUCAGGUGCCAAAGGCCAGGCAAAGAGGUGUGUCUUCAGCAUAUGCUAGAAACUAUAUAAUGAAGGUGUCAGAUGCACCUCUGGAAAGGGAAUUCCUCAACUAAGGAGCUGCCACAGGGAAUGCUCUCUCCUGGGCCACACCAAAGCUUCUAAGGGUGAGCAAGUGUGGCUGUGGGGAAGGAGGCUUUCAUUCAGUGGUGUGCAGUGACAUUUUUUGUAGGGGGACAGUUAGGGCUAGUUGCCUUGGGAAAACUACGCCACUAGAUAGUAUCCAGCAAUUACAAGCUCCACCCGACUGUUGGCAUACAGUGGAGUGCUUUUACACUAUUUGGCAGGUAAAAGUAUUAGAACAGAGCGAUCACACCUUCCCAGCACCUAAUCACUUUAAUAUGAUAACAUACUAAUAAAACAAAUGCAGUUGAUCUUACCUUCAUUCAUCAGUUAAUGCAAUUCUCCUGUCUCCUUUCUGCGCAUCACAGAAGCUUCCUUGACUUUGCAGUUCAGUUAGAAGAGACUUUUUGAUGGAUAUGAGAGAAAGUUGGGAAAGCCGGUCUUUGAGUGGUUCAAAUGUAACUUUUUACCCAUUUUAGGCAGCCCUCUACAGUGGAAGCGGACCCGGAAAUAGUUGCUAACAAAAGCCGCAUGCCCCAGCAAAAACCGUCCGGCUGAAACUUAAGAGCCAUAGGCUGCCCCCCCCCCAAAAAAAAACAGGAGGACUACCUGGAGAGUAAUCUUAUCAAUGAAACAAGGCAGCAUCAACCAUGGACGAGACCUGCCUGCACAAUGUCCCUGAAGGCAUAAGAUUCGGACACAAGCGGAAAGAACAAUGGCUCAAUUAUUCUCAAGAGUUAUUUAUUUAUUUUUAAAGCCAAAAUUGAAAAGUGUUCAGCUGUGCUGCGUGCUUACUCGGCAUGCCCACCCAAAAGGACCUGCCUCAGUGACACCACGUGGCUCAGUGCAACCUCCAAACAAAAGAAGAAACACUCCAGGGAGGCCGCCUGCCAGCACCACAUGGCCCUGGUUUCAAAAUGCAAUAAGAUGAACAAACGAAGGGCCCCCCGCAUAAGAAUCCCCACAGCCCAAAUCCCAGCCUGCGUCCCCAUUCGCCAAAGCAGGGUGCAGGCUAGGAUCCAGUUCCUGAUAUGGGGGGCGGGGGCUUAUGACCCCACCACCUAUCAGGAAGGGCACUGACGUUCAAGUUCUCUCAUCAGGGCCCCAGUGAAGCCUUCGCCAUCCCGCAAUGCCGUCGCACCAAGAAGAUGAGCGGAUUUCUCUACGGAGGGAAGCAUUUCUUCAACAGUAGACGUACUGAGAAGCUGUACACAAAACAUGCAUCCAAGGCUGCUGUGUUCUCCCUCCCCCCAAGUCCUCCUCAACUCUUCUUAGCAACAUACACACACACACACCCCCAAAAAACCCAGCUGUUUUGCCCUCCUGGGCAGGUUUGGAAGAAGGGGGUUGCUGGGAGUUCAGUCCAACAGAAGUGACUGAAAGUUAAGGAUCCCCACCCCCAAUUCACAGUUUUUGCUGGUAGGGAUAGUUGAGGGCAGCAAGAGCCUGAAGGGAUCAUGGACUCCCCAGUGCUUGUGCUCUACAAGUUACAUGGGUGGCACAUGCUCAGUCCCUCUCCCUACUUUCUAACUAAAGAGCAGACCAUGUGUUUGUGCAUUAUAAAGUACACAGAGAGAGUCUGUUGAAGAACCCGCUUCCCUCCACGUCUGGGCAUGUGGCGCCACUGCAAGGCUGUGCCACCAACACAGCUCCAGGAGGACACGCCCUUGGAUGCCUCCUGAAGAUGCCCAUGCAAGGAGCACAGCGGCUUGAGUAAAGCAGGCAAAAGAAGAAAGAGGCUCAGGGAGUAAGGUCCAAGAAUGACUGAGAGGAGGAGAAAGAAGAGAGAGCGAGGAGGAAGGGUUUAUUCUGGAAAUGGAGCGCAGAGGUGUGUGCCUAAUUUAUCAGGAACAUGGGGGACUAGGCUAGGCCCUAUGGCCCAAUACACUGCACUCCACUGCUUUCAUUCAGAAAUUUGGGGCCUGUCAUUUAGGGCUUCAAUACUAAAAUGAACACCUCAAAUUCAGCCCAGAAAUGAACUAGCAACCAAUGCAGCUGCUUUCUUUCUCUUUCCUUUUUAAUUACUUUUUUUAUUCAAAAUUAAAACAAAAAAUAUUAUCCAGAAACAUAUCAUCCUUAUUUUCCCCCAGUCUUUGAUUUCUCUAAAAGUGCUGUUUUCUGCAUGUUACACAGUUGUAUAGAUCCUCAAACUAUUUAAGUAAUAAUUAUCAAUAAAAAGUUUGUGAAUGUUUAUUCAAAACCAGCCAAGGAGUCCAGUUCGCUUUGUUGCGUCUUCAAAUACUUUCUAAAGGGUUCCCAUUCAUCUUUAAAGUCACAGUUAUCCUUGUCCCAUAGCUUGUAUGUCAGUUUUGCCAGUUCUGCAUAGUCCAUCAAUUUUUCUUGCCAUGAUUCUUUAGUUGGUGGUAUAGUGGUGAGCAUAGCUGCCUUCCAAUGCAGCUGCUUUCAAACAGCAGCUAUAUGAUCUCUAAAGGAAACCCCAGACAGUAAUCUGUCUGAUGCCUUUUGGACUAGUUAUCGUUUCCAAGUCGCCUUCAAGGGCAGCCCUGCAUGGAGUGCAUUGCAAUAAUCCAGUCUGAAAGUUACCAGAGUAAUCACAAAGUUACCACAGGUCACAUGGAGGAAUUGUGAAUUAUUAUGCCAUGAAGUUCCAUAGACCCUGAUAAAAAAAAGUUAAAGAAGCACAAAUAUCUGAACAUGUAUGUAUGUAUGUAAGCAUGACUGAAGUAACCAUCUUCCCUUUAUGGAGGUGGGAGAAAUUGACAAUUGAUGGCCUUGGGCAGAUCGUGGUGAGGAAGAAAAAGCGAAGGCUCCAGAGUCUAGGAGAACUGGCCAGAGAACAGGAAAUUGACAGAAAAGCAUCCAGGAUUCUCUGUACAUUGACAGGGAUUGUGGAAGUAAGUAUGUGACAGGAAUGUGGCUCUGAGUUGGUUUUUAUUUUUAUUUUUAUUUUUUUUAGAGCUGGCUAUUUCAUUUGAGCUCUGGUUGCCCUAAUGAACCAGCCUCUACUGGGGACACCUGUCUAUUUUUCUAGAAAACUAUUGUCUAGUUGAUGCCCUUCCCUAAUCCAUAUAAGACUGGUUAACAUGGGCAGCAAUCCUUACCCCACUUACCCGGGAACGAGCACCACUGAAUUCAAUAGGACUUACUUCUGAGCAGACAUGGCUGGAAUCACGCUGUUAAUCAUAGUAGCUAUAUCCCGGACUCUGCAGAAAUCUAUCAGUUGCCAGUUUGUACCUGUCAAUAAAUUGGUUAUGUUCUUUUAUUAUCCUUCUUACUAGCAAAAUAAGCCAAAUUAACAGCAGGACACACAUUAAUUAAUGCAGGAGGGUGUAUGUGCAUUUGUCAAAAUACCCAACCUGUUUCAUAAAUAUUAUUGUCCGUCUUUGUGUGCUGUGUUUCCUAUGUACAGCUAGUUCUUUUUCACCCUCCCACUCUUAAAACCAAAUCUUUGGUUUGUAAUUAUAGUUUCAGCGUGUUGUUGGGUUAUCUUUCUUUUCUUACUUAUCCUUCUUAUACAUAUAUUUUACUUUGUAUUAUAUUUAAAUCAUUUUAGCAGUAGGAAAAGGUCAAGUCAGGAGUUCAGAUGCCAUCUUUUCCCGCCAUUUCAAAAAUCCCACAGGCUGAGCCAAACCUGGCACUACUUUCAGUAUAGCUAGUCCAUUUGCAGAGAAUACCUUUCUGUAGCUUUCUCUGUCUAUUAUUAGGUAUUAUUAGGCAUGCUAUUAUUAGGUGCUGUUAGAGCUGGAAGUAGAAAUCCCUGGCUCUUGUGAGCCCCUGAGCUUCAGAUUGGUGAUUCUCUCUAGGCAUCAAAGAAUUCACAGGUACCAGAUCGAUUCCACUUGCCCAGUUUCAUCAUUGGCUCUCUUCAAUAGGAAAAGCUAUAAAGUCUUCAGGCUGGGACAGAUUAACCUGAGCCGUCAACAGAAGGAAACGACUGGCUUUGGGGUUACUCACUGAUCUGAUCUCUCCAUGUUCACUUGUGGAUCCCACCCCACAGCUGUCUACAACUCAACUUUAAGGGUAGAACAGAAAUUCGAUUCAGUUCAAAUUUAAGCACAAAUCUACCUAAUUCACACUAGAGCACAAUACAACCAUCCUUUGACAUUCUUGCUUCUCUGAAUUUUUCAGUCAGUACAGUUCUCCAGCCAAGUAAUGUGUGUGAAAAUGCAUGUAUUAGUCAAAGUACUGUACAAACAAGUGUUCCUUUAGCUGUUGCUUUAGUGGAAACUGCUUUGCAAAAAUGUAUAUAUGUUAGGCAGAAUUGCAGACAAGCAUUUAUAUAUUAGGAGAAAUCAGCCCUAAAAUGCCAAUGUAUCUUCAUAAGGAUUUUUUAAAAACAAAAAAACCUGAUGUGGAAAUGUGGAGAACUGAAUUUAAGGUUAUAAAAACAAAACACUAAGAUAAAUUGAAAUUGACAGGAGCUAGCUAGGGCGGGGGGUGUGUGUUUACACUCUUGCCCCUGCAGCCAGGGGGGCCUGGCUUAAUAGACUACAUUAUAGUAUG